Molecule: ribosomal RNA, 273 nt
Filed under: uncultured bacterium
Lineage: Bacteria
Description: partial 16S ribosomal RNA
Rfam family: Bacterial small subunit ribosomal RNA
Source: RNAcentral
UACGAACUGUGCAAACGUUAUUCGGAAUCACUGGGCUUAAAGGGUGCGUAGGCGGCUGUCUAAGUAGGGUGUGAAAGCCCCCGGCUCAACCGGGGAAUUGCGCCCUAAACUGGACGGCUGGAGUGAGGCAGGGGUGUGUGGAACUUCCGGUGGAGCGGUGAAAUGUGUUGAUAUCGGAAGGAACGCCGGUGGCGAAAGCGACACACUGGGUCUCAACUGACGCUGAGGCACGAAAGCCAGGGGAGCAAACGGGAUUAGAAACCCCCGUAGUCC